RNAcentral lists this ribosomal RNA (389 nucleotides) under uncultured bacterium. Its description in RNAcentral is "bacterial SSU rRNA". It matches the Rfam family "Bacterial small subunit ribosomal RNA", at positions 29 to 419 of the family's 1533-position model. The record is from RNAcentral.
AUUGAACGCUGGCGGCAUGCUUUACACAUGCAAGUCGGGCGGCAGCGCGGGGGCAACCCUGGCGGCGAGCGGCGAACGGGUGAGUAACACAUCGGAACGUGCCCAAUCGUGGGGGAUAACGUAGCGAAAGCUACGCUAAUACCGCAUACGAUCUACGGAUGAAAGCGGGGGAUCGCAAGACCUCGCGCGAAUGGAGCGGCCGAUGGCAGAUUAGGUAGUUGGUGGGGUAAAGGCUCACCAAGCCGACGAUCUGUAGCUGGUCUGAGAGGACGACCAGCCACACUGGGACUGAGACACGGCCCAGACUCCUACGGGAGGCAGCAGUGGGGAAUUUUGGACAAUGGGCGCAAGCCUGAUCCAGCCAUUCCGCGUGCAGGAUGAAGGCCUUC